Molecule: long non-coding RNA, 927 nt
Organism: Cyprinus carpio carpio
Lineage: Eukaryota; Metazoa; Chordata; Actinopteri; Cypriniformes; Cyprinidae
Source: Ensembl
CUCUUUCAUGUCUCAGAGGCUAUGAAGAAACCAACAGAGUCUUACAUCGGCCGAGAAACUCAUGCAGCUUAAAAACGGCAAAGGCAAUGUUUUUCAUUUGAGUUGCCCUUUCAUUUUUUUCUCCUUGCUAACUUUUUGAUCUAAAUCUUCUUAACUUUAUAUUAAAUGCUGUGGCCUGCUUGAGGUGUCAGAGUCUUUCCAAUCACUGUUUAUCUGAUGGAUUCCAGCAAGUAUGGAAAUGAAGCAAAGAUUUUGACUCAUGGUUCUGAUAGAGGUCACAGGCUAAGGAUGUCAUUGCUCACAUCAGGAGUAUUUCUAGCUGUUAAAGCAGUAAGAGAGGAGCUGAAGUGGAGUGAUCAUGGGAAAGAGAAAAAGAGUGACAGUAAGAAAGAAGGAAAAAAUCAGGCCUAACAGAGGAGGCCCAUACGUUCUCCAGAUGUUCUCCUACACACAACUGAGACAUGAAGGAGAAACGCUUCACAGAAGCUCUUGACACACACACAUAUUCAAGCUCUCUUUAUGGUAGAACAUGGCUGGUUAGCAUCAUGUCUAUGUCCAGAAAAAAGCUAAGAGCUCACCCCCUCCUCUUUCACAUGUGAAACCCUGUGAAAUACAGACUCGCUCAUUAUUCCACAUUUCAUGAAGUCAUCCCAAGCAUGCCGGAUUUACAUUUUUGGUCUGGUAUAAAUUUUUUGAAGCAUUUAAUAAUAAACCAACAUCUGUAUGAAAAAACAACCAGCUCUCAACAUCUCAGUAAACACCCAUCCGUACCUCAUUUUCCCUUUCUCUUGCCCUCUCUCUCCCUCUCUCGUUUUCAGGGAAUACAUUGAAUAGCAUUGUUUCUUUGUUCAGGCUUUGUUUUCCCUUAGUGCAGGCACACACACUCUAACAAACACAUGACCUAACACACACACACACACACACACA